RNAcentral lists this ribosomal RNA (273 nucleotides) under uncultured bacterium. RNAcentral describes it as "partial 16S ribosomal RNA". The record is from RNAcentral.
CUGCUGCCUUCCGUAGGAGUUUGGACCGUGUCUCAGUUCCAAUGUGGGGGACCUUCCUCUCAGAACCCCUAUCCAUCGUUGUCUUGGUGGGCCGUUGCCCCACCAACUACCUAAUGCGCCGCAUGCCCAUCCGUGACCGGGUUCGCCCCCUUUGGCCGGCAGGGGAUGUCCCCUCCCGGCAUUAUGUUGUAUUAGGCGGGAUUUCUCCCGGUUAUCCAUCUGUCACGGCCAGGUUGCAUACGUGUUACUCACCCGUGCGCCGGUCGCCGGCGG